UGAAGCUUCGGCAGAUUUAGCUGGUUUCUAGUGGCGGACGGGUGAGUAACGCGUGGGUAACCUGCCUUGUACAGGGGGAUAACAGUCAGAAAUGACUGCUAAUACCGCAUAAGCGCACAGGACCGCAUGGUCCGGUGUGAAAAACUCCGGUGGUAUAAGAUGGACCCGCGUUGGAUUAGCUAGUUGGCAGGGUAACGGCCUACCAAGGCAACGAUCCAUAGCCGGCCUGAGAGGGUGAACGGCCACAUUGGGACUGAGGCACGGCCCAGACUCCUACGGGAGGCAGCAGUGGGGAAUAUUGCACAAUGGGGGAAACCCUGAUGCAGCGACGCUGCGUGAAGGAAGAAGUAUCUCGGUAUGUAAACUUCUAUCAGCAGGGAAGAAAAUGACGGUACCUGACUAAGAAGCCCCGGCUAACUACGUGCCAGCAGCCGCGGUAAUACGUAGGGGGCAAGCGUUAUCCGGAUUUACUGGGUGUAAAGGGAGCGUAGACGGAUGGACAAGUCUGAUGUGAAAGGCUGGGGCUCAACCCCGGGACUGCAUUGGAAACUGCCCGUCUUGAGUGCCGGAGAGGUAAGCGGAAUUCCUAGUGUAGCGGUGAAAUGCGUAGAUAUUAGGAGGAACAC
This 626-nucleotide ribosomal RNA is filed under the name uncultured Lachnospiraceae bacterium. RNAcentral's name for it is "bacterial SSU rRNA". It matches the Rfam family "Bacterial small subunit ribosomal RNA", at positions 68 to 709 of the family's 1533-position model. The record is from RNAcentral. Lineage: Bacteria; Bacillati; Bacillota; Clostridia; Lachnospirales; Lachnospiraceae.